This 497-nucleotide ribosomal RNA is filed under the name uncultured bacterium. RNAcentral's name for it is "partial 16S ribosomal RNA". It matches the Rfam family "Bacterial small subunit ribosomal RNA", at positions 28 to 507 of the family's 1533-position model. The record is from RNAcentral.
GACGAACGCUGGCGGCGUGCCUAAUACAUGCCAGUUGAGCGCUGAAGGUUGGUACUUGUACCAACUGGACGAGCAGCGAACGGGUGAGUAACGCGUGGGGAAUCUGCCUUUGAGCGGGGGACAACAUUUGGAAACGAAUGCUAAUACCGCAUAAAAACUUUAAACACAAGUUUUAAGUUUGAAAGAUGCAAUUGCAUCACUCAAAGAUGAUCCCGCGUUGUAUUAGCUAGUUGGUGAGGUAAAGGCUCACCAAGGCGAUGAUACAUAGCCGACCUGAGAGGGUGAUCGGCCACAUUGGGACUGAGACACGGCCCAAACUCCUACGGGAGGCAGCAGUAGGGAAUCUUCGGCAAUGGACGAAAGUCUGACCGAGCAACGCCGCGUGAGUGAAGAAGGGUUUCGGAUCGUAAAACUCUGUUGGUAGAGAAGAACGUUGGUGAGAGUGGAAAGCUCAUCAAGUGACGGUAACUACCCAGAAAGGGACGGCUAACUACGUG